GACGAACGCUGGUGGCGUGCUUAACACAUGCAAGUCGAACGGGAUUUAGUAAACAGAAGCCUCGGUGGAAGAUUACUAAUGAGAGUGGCGAACGGGUGAGUAACGCGUGAGCAACCUGCCUAUGACAGUGGGAUAGCCUCGGGAAACCGGGAUUAAUACCGCAUAAAAUCGUAGAAACACAUGUUUUAACGGUCAAAGAUUUAUCGGUCAUAGAUGGGCUCGCGUCUGAUUAGCUAGUUGGUGAGAUAACAGCCCACCAAGGCGACGAUCAGUAGCCGGUCGGAGAGGAUGAACGGCCACAUUGGAACUGAGACACGGUCCAAACUCCUACGGGAGGCAGCAGUGGGGAAUAUUGCACAAUGGGGGAAACCCUGAUGCAGCGACGCCGCGUGAACGAAGAAGGUAUUCGUAUCGUAAAGUUCUGUCCUAUGGGAAGAUAAUGACAGUACCAUAGAAGAAAGCUCCGGCUAAAUACGUG
Molecule: ribosomal RNA, 478 nt
Filed under: uncultured bacterium
Lineage: Bacteria
Description: partial 16S ribosomal RNA
Rfam family: Bacterial small subunit ribosomal RNA
Source: RNAcentral